AACACUUGAAACCUCCCAACUGCAACCAUGUGAGCAAGUCAUCAAUGUCCCCUCCAGUGUACUUCAACCCUAGGCCUGUGCUGGCGGCUCCUUCUGCAUCUCCACCACCCUCUUCCACGACUGGCGGGCCGAGAUGGCAUCCCACCACUUGCUCACCCUCUUCCUAUCUCGGAUCAGUGCUGCACAAUCCCUCGAUGCAAUGAUCCUGUGAGUGUUCGGGAGGUGUGAGAGGUCGGCCAGCGUGAACUUGUCCCCGGCUAGGUACGUUGUCUCCUCGAGCCUCUGUUCGUAGAUGUCCAGCACCCUGGCCAGCUUCCGCUUGCUCUGUUCUACCACCACGGGGUCCGGCUCAAGCCCCACAAGCG
This 365-nucleotide unclassified non-coding RNA is filed under the name Hevea brasiliensis (rubber tree). The record is from RNAcentral. Lineage: Eukaryota; Viridiplantae; Streptophyta; Magnoliopsida; Malpighiales; Euphorbiaceae.